RNAcentral lists this ribosomal RNA (254 nucleotides) under uncultured bacterium. RNAcentral describes it as "partial 16S ribosomal RNA". It matches the Rfam family "Bacterial small subunit ribosomal RNA", at positions 524 to 776 of the family's 1533-position model. The record is from RNAcentral.
UACGUAGGGGGCAAGCGUUGUCCGGAUUUAUUGGGCGUAAAAGGCUUGUAGGUGGCCACGCCAAGUCGGAUGUGAAAUCUCCCGGCUCAACUGGGAGGGGUCAUUCGAUACUGGCGGGCUCGAGGCCGGUAGGGGGAAGUGGAAUUCCCGGUGUAGUGGUGGAAUGCGUAGAUAUCGAGAGGAACACCUGCGGCGAAGGCGGGUUGCUGGGCCGACACUGACGCUGAUGCGCGAAAGCCAGGGGAGCGAACGGG